UAUAAGAGACAGCAGUAGCCGCGGUAAUACGUAGGUGGCAAGCGUUGUCCGGAAUUAUUGGGCGUAAAGCGCGCGCAGGCGGUUUCUUAAGUCUGAUGUGAAAGCCCCCGGCUUAACCGGGGAGGGUCAUUGGAAACUGGGAGACUUAGAGUGCAGAAGAGGAGAGUGGAAUUCCAUGUGUAGCGGUGAAAUGCGUAGAUAUAUGGAGGAACACCAGUGGCGAAGGCGACUCUCUGGUCUGUAACUGACGCUGAGGCGCGAAAGCGUGGGGAGCAAACAGGAUUAGAGACCCGUGUAGUCCCUGUCUCUUAUA
This 313-nucleotide ribosomal RNA is filed under the name uncultured bacterium. RNAcentral describes it as "partial 16S ribosomal RNA". It matches the Rfam family "Bacterial small subunit ribosomal RNA", at positions 500 to 808 of the family's 1533-position model. The record is from RNAcentral.